AUGUAUUGGUUCGUAUUCGGUUUUUCGGUUUUUAUGGUGGUCGGGACUCAAAGUCAGAAUGAUCAUUCUGAUGAUCCUUCCGAUGAUCAGUAUUCUGAUGAUCCUUCCGAUGAUCAGUAUUCUGAUGAUCCUUCCGAUGAUCAGUAUUCUGAUGAUCCUUCCGAUGAUCAGUAUUCUGAUCAUCAUGGUGUGGAUAUGAACACGACUGAGUGUUCAAAGAAAAAAAACAAUAGAAACGAUAAAGCAAUCGUCAUAUUCGAAGACGAUGAAAUUGUCUACGAUAAAGCCGCAG
Molecule: long non-coding RNA, 292 nt
Filed under: Zostera marina
Lineage: Eukaryota; Viridiplantae; Streptophyta; Magnoliopsida; Alismatales; Zosteraceae
Description: long non-coding RNA (ZMAR_LNC001072)
Source: RNAcentral